This 808-nucleotide long non-coding RNA is filed under the name Nicotiana tabacum (common tobacco). RNAcentral's name for it is "long non-coding RNA (NTAB_LNC009049)". The record is from RNAcentral. Lineage: Eukaryota; Viridiplantae; Streptophyta; Magnoliopsida; Solanales; Solanaceae.
GAACAAUUCUUGAGAAGUUACUUCGGGUUCAAGCAUGAUUUUCUUGGAGUAGUUGCAGGUAUGACUGUUGCAUAUGCUGCUGUUUUUGCCUUCACAUUUGCUUUUGGUAUUAAGGCAUUCAAUUUCCAGAAAAGAUAGAAGAGGUUACCUGCUGAAGAUUUAAGAGUAAGAUUGGAGAAGAGUUGAUUAUGAAACUACUAGCUAGUAUAUAUAGGCCAUAACAUGAAGAAGUAUAUGUUCUGUUUAUUUUUUCUUGAAUCCCAAGUUUUUGUGUAAGAGCUAAUAAGUUAUAAGUGUUGAAUGAAAAUAUAGUGGCAAAUUUGUUCCAUAUAUAGUUGGCUUGACCCUUUACCUUGCCAUCUUCUUACUAUAUCUUAUUUAUUUACUGAAAUUUGAGCACUUUGCCCCUUUUCCACACUAAAUUCAUCACAAUUUGGAGAUCUACUGGUGUGGCUAGCAGAUAUCUUGUGGAAUUAGUCGAGGUGCGCACAAACUGGCCCAGACACCACGAUUAUAUAAAAAAAAGUGGCUAGGUUUGAAACGUUGUCACCACCGCUCGUGAAAUGGAGAAGAAACGGUCAGUAUAAGGAAUUUUUUUCGAGCUCAAGUACUGGCGAGAGAUUGGUUGUAAAAGUCUUGUAUAUAGGUUGUAGCUUGAACAACUGUUUACUUUCUCCAUUCAAAUAAUAUUUGGUGUUUCAUUUUGUUAACUUUUAGUAAAACAUUGAAUAAAAAUAGUAAUUUGCAUCAUAGCAAGGUUGAAUACAACAAUUAGAAAAAAACAUGGUAUUAUAUAGUUUAUCUCCAU